GGCAGAGUGUAAGACCAGGCCAGGGGGCUAAAAGGAGUGAGGCAGGAGAAGACCCUAAAAGCCACUGAGGAAUCAAAAUGAGGUGCGAGCAUGAAAUACCUGCGUGAAGCUGCGAGGACCAUGCCUGAUGCAGACGAGGCAGGAGCUCAAUCAAUGCUGGAACAUCAAUAGCAAAUCUCAGCUUCCGUCUGGAAGCUGGCAGCAGCAGCAGCAGCCAGAUGGCCUCUCUUGGAAGCUGUACACUGAAGCCUGUACUUUCCAAGUUCAACUGGCCCCUACUUUUGAAGAUCUCUCUUGGAUACCAGGAAUGGAGCUUUAUGGACGAUCUCACAACUAGCAAUUCACAAUGAAGUUCUGGGGUACGUGAUAAAAGAAGAACUUCAGCUGAAUUAAAUUUAAAGGAGUUUGAGCAAUGAAUAAUUCGCGAAUUGGGCAGCCCCCAGAAUCACAGCAGAUUCACAAAGACUCCAGUGCAACCACGUGGUAGAAGAAGAUUUACAGACAAAAAAAAAAAAAAAAUGGAAA
Long non-coding RNA from Homo sapiens (human), 525 nucleotides. RefSeq lists it as uncharacterized. The record is from RefSeq and is a predicted model, not a curated record. Lineage: Eukaryota; Metazoa; Chordata; Mammalia; Primates; Hominidae. The transcript is spliced from 3 exons.